CGCCGCUGCCCCGCGACCCCGGCCCUGCUCCGGGCCAGCACCGGGGUUCGGCGGGGGCGGGAGUGUGGGCCGCCUUCCGGGAGCGGCCGCCCCUCCCUCUGGGAGUGGCUGGGAAGAGAAAGAGGCCCUCUCCCGGCGGGGGCCGCUGGUCCAAGUUUGGGACCCGAUUAAGGUUACGCGUGCAGCCCGGCGAAGCCCGCGUGGCCCCGGCGGCGCGGCGCGGGGGCGUGUGCACCGGGAGGAGGCGCUGGAGAACGACCACGGGGGGGCGCUGUGCGCGCGCUCUGGAGCCUCGGUGGCUCCGCCGCUGGAAGGCUGGAAGGCGAGCGGAUCAGAGUGAAGCAUCGUCUCACCUUUACUCCACUACGUGUAACCUCGCAAUUUAGAACGUUGCCGUGUGCAGCUCCGUCGUUCACGGAUGCGACGGACGGUGCAACUUGACCUGAAAUAGCAGCAGAGUGUCUCGGGGUAGCUGAAGCUAACAUGAAGAGAAUAGCUGGAGAUGAUCCAUUGCCAUCUCAAGAUGACCUGAAGUCCACAAUGCUCAGCAAAGCUGGAGUGAGUGAACUCCUUACUUCUACCUGCCAAGAAGCUCCAUGUUGCUACAGUGUCCAUUUUGUCCCAAGCAACAGGUUAGGGAGGAGUAACAGGGUCUCUAUGGUAAAAGGAAAAAACACUGAGGUAACAAAGAAUGCAGCAUCGACACGCAGAAGGGCCUUUCACACAUCAGAGGCAGACCUGUGUCUGUGGCCCUGGUCUCUGUUUGAGUCCCUCUUUUGUAGCCUCUCCAACACUUAGUUGGGGCCACCAAAGCUGCCUUAACCCGCAGUACACAGUAGUUCACAGCAUCACUUGGAAAAGAGUUUGGAACUUCAACCUGGAAGGCCAUGGAUUCACCUCGGACUCCUGCUCCUUCUCUCAGCCCAGACCCAGCUUUGCUACAGCUCAGAAAACCUGAGCAGGACUCUCCCCUUCCCCACUCUCCCUGGACUGGCCAGAAACAGAAAGAGCCUGAAAGUGAUAAAUGUUGGGAAGGAGAAAUGAAUUAAGGCACAGGUGUGAGGAGCCAGUGAAGAGAGUCACAAAAUAUUUUCGAGAAAAGCUUCUUGUGGCAAAUUCCGUUUUUCCUGGAGCUACCCAAGCCCAAGACACACUUCUGGAGCCAGCCAAGGAAGAGGCCCAUGGAUUUUUAAGUAUCUUGAAAACAAAAGAAAUGCAGGCAGAGGCGCCCUAUGUAUUUAUGAGCAGACAUGAUUCAACGCAGUAAUGAUGCAUUUGUUCUUUAUGCCCAAAGACAAAAUUACUGGUAAAACAUCAAGGAAAACCCUUGGAAAAGGAAAAGCCUCAUAAUAACAAAUAUUAAUAGCUACUCUAAAACUGGCCUUUACCAGGUUCUGGGCACUGUUCUAUGUCUUUCAUGCACAUUAUUUAAUCUUCGUAACAACCUACAAAGUAGAUACUUUUAUACCCCCAAUUUGCAGAGGGGAAAACAGAGAGGCUGAGUAGCUCACUCCAGGUCAGACAGCGAGUUAGAGGUGGAGCUGGGAUAGGAACCCAGAUGGGGCCACUCUGCCUGACCCUUGACUCCAUGCUGUCUUGUGAGGUGAAACACUCAUAAAAGACAGACACCAUGAGUUGUGGUUUUCCUUAAGAGCUAAAAAUUUCUUCCUUGAAAAUAAAGGCUAAAAAGCCCAUCCACAAUUACAGGCUUUCACAAGAAAGUAUGUUCAGGGCAACUGAGUAUGGCAUA
Molecule: long non-coding RNA, 1750 nt
Organism: Equus quagga
Lineage: Eukaryota; Metazoa; Chordata; Mammalia; Perissodactyla; Equidae
Exons: 3
Source: RefSeq, a predicted model, not a curated record